Molecule: ribosomal RNA, 468 nt
Filed under: uncultured bacterium
Lineage: Bacteria
Description: partial 16S ribosomal RNA
Rfam family: Bacterial small subunit ribosomal RNA
Source: RNAcentral
GACGAACGCUGGCGGCGUGCUUAACACAUGCAAGUCGAACGGAAAGGCCCUGCUUUUGUGGGGUGCUCGAGUGGCGAACGGGUGAGUAACACGUGAGUAACCUGCCCUUGACUUUGGGAUAACUUCAGGAAACUGGGGCUAAUACCGGAUAGGAGCUCCUGCUGCAUGGUGGGGGUUGGAAAGUUUCGGCGGUUGGGGAUGGACUCGCGGCUUAUCAGCUUGUUGGUGGGGUAGUGGCUUACCAAGGCUUUGACGGGUAGCCGGCCUGAGAGGGUGACCGGCCACAUUAGGACUGAGAUACGGCCCAGACUCCUACGGGAGGCAGCAGUGGGGAAUAUUGCACAAUAGGCGGAAGCCAGAUGCAGCAACGCCGCGUGCGGGAUGACGGCCUUCGGGUUGUAAACCGCUUUCGCCUGUGACGAAGCGUGAGUGACGAUAAUGGGUAAAGAAGCACGGGCUAACUACGUG